Molecule: long non-coding RNA, 2793 nt
Filed under: Vigna radiata
Lineage: Eukaryota; Viridiplantae; Streptophyta; Magnoliopsida; Fabales; Fabaceae
Description: long non-coding RNA (VRAD_LNC011616)
Source: RNAcentral
CUUAACCCUAACCCUAAACCCUCAACCUUAAACCAUAAACCCUAAACUCUAAGCCAUAAAGCCUAAUCCGUAAACUCUAAACUAUAAACCCUAAACCCUAAACNCUAAACAAUAAACCAUAAACCCUAAACACUAAACCCGAAAGCCUAAACCCUAAACACUAAACCCUAAACCCUAAAUCCUAAACCCUAAACCCUAAUCCUUAAAACCAAAACCCUAAACCCUAAACCUUAAACCCUAAUCCCUAAACCCUAAUCCGUAAUCCCUAAACCCUAAUCCCUAAUCCAUAAACCCUAAACCCAAAACCAAAAACACUAAACCCUAAACCUUAAACCCCUACCCUAAACCAUAACCUUAACAAUAUACUCUAACCCUAACCCUACCCAUAUACUUUAACACUAACCCUAACCUUAACCAUAUCCCUAAACCCUAAACCCUAGACUCUGAACCCUAAACCCUAAACCCUAAACCAUAAACCCUAAACCCUAAAUCCUUAACCCUAAACCAUAAACCCUAAUCCUUAAUCCCUAAUGCCUGAUCCCAAAUCAAUAAACUCCAAUCCCUAAACCCUAAACCUUAAGCUCAAAUCCCAUCCCUUAACCUUAGUCCUAAACCCCUAACCAUGAACCCUAAACCGUCAACUCUAAACCUUAAACCCCUAACCUAAACCAUAACCUUAACAAUAUACUCUAAUCCUAACCUUAACCAUAUACUUUAACCCUAACCAUAACCAUAACCUUAUCCCUCCACCCUAAACCCUAAACCAUAAACUCUAAACCCUAAACCUUAAACCUUAAUCCCUAAAUCCUAAACCCUAAACACUAAACCCUAAACCCUAAACCCUAAACCCUAAACCCUAAACCAUAAACCCUAAACCCCUAAACCAUAAACCCUAAACCCUAAACCUUUUAACUCUAAACCUUAAACCCUAAACCCUAAACCCUCAAAACCUAAACCCUCAACCCUCAACCCUAAUCCCUAAACCCUAAACCCUAAAUCUGGAACCCUAAACCCUAAACUCUACGCUAAACCCUAAACCCUAAAUCCAAAAUCCUAAACUUUAAACCCUAAACCUUAAACCCUAAACACUAAUCCCUAAUCGUUAAACCCUAAACCCUAAACCCUAAAUCCUAAACUCUAAACCUUAAACCCCAAUCCUUAAUCCCUAAUCCUUGAUCCCUAAUCCAUAAACUUCAAUCCCUAAACACCAUAGAGCAGACAAGUCAAGAGGGUGGACAGAAGAAAAUUGAGCCGGUGGGACGACGAAGAUCCCAACGUGAAGAAAAAGAGUUGAAAUUGCUGGAAAUUAUUUUUGUAUUCUUAAGAACAAUUUUUAUUUUAAGUUAUUUUCACUUUUUACUUUCAUUGGAACAUGUAAUUUUUGAAUUUUUGGAACAAUUUUUGGGCCCUAAACCCUAAUCGCUAAUCCCAAAUCCCUAAUCCCUAAUCCCUAAACCCUAAACCUUAAACCGUAAAUCCUAAACCCUAAACCCUAAACCCCAAUCACUAAACCCUAAUCCCAAUUCCCUAAAUCCUAAUCCCUAAUACCUAAUCCAUGAACCCUAAAUCCUAUACCCUAAACCCUAAACACUAAACCCUAAUCCUUAAUACCUAAUCCCUGAUCCAUAAACUACAAUCCCUAAACCCCAAACCUUAACCUCAAAGCCCAUCCCUUAACCCUAAACCCUAACCCUAAACCCUAUCCUUGAACCAUAACCAUAAACACUAAACCCUAACCCUAAACCCUUACUAUAAACCUUAAACACUAACCGUAAACCCUAAACCCUAAACACUAAACUCUAAAUACUAAACCCUAAACCCUAAACCCUAACCCUAAUCCUUAAUCCCUAAUCCUUGAACCUAAACCCUAAACCCUAAACUCUAAACCCUAAGCACUAACCCUAAACCCCAAUCCCUUAACCCUAAUACCUAAACCCUAAUCCUUAAGCCCUAAUCCCCAAACCCUAAACCCUUAUCGCUAAUCCAUAAUCCCUACUCCCUAAACCCUAAUCCCUAAACCCUAAACCUUAAACCGUAAAUCCAAAACCCUAAACCCUAAACCCCAAACACCAAUCCCUAAACCCUAAACCCUAAUCCCUAAUCCUUAAUCCAUAACCCUAAACACUAAACCCUAAACCCUAAUCCUUAAUCCCUGAUCCUUGAUCCCUAAUCCAUAAACUACAAUCCCUAAACCCCAAACAUUAACCUCAUACCCCAUCCCUUAACCCUAGUCCUAACCUUGAACCCUAAACCGUACACCAUAAACCUUCAACCCUUCCCUAAACCAUAACCUUAAAGCGUAUACUCUAUCCCUAACCCUAACCAUACACUUUAACCCUAACCAAACCUUAACCUUAUCCCUAAACCCUAAACCCUAAUCCCUAAAACCUAAUCCCUAAACCCUAAACCCUAAACUCUAAACCCUAAUUGCUAAUCCCUAAUCCAUAAACUCCAAUCCUUAAAACCUAUACCUAAACCUCAAACCCCAUCCCUUCACCCCAGUCCUAAACCCCUAACUAUGAACCCUAAAUCGUAAACCCUAAACCAUAAACCCCUACCCUAAACCAUAACCUUGACCAUAUACUCUAACCUUAACCCUAACCACAUACUUUAACUCUAACCCUAACCUUAACCUUAUCCCUAAACCCUAAACNCUAAACCUUAAACCAUAAACCCUAAACCCUAAACUCUAAACCCUAAUGCCUAAACUCUAAACCCUAAACCCGAAACCCUAAAUUUUAAACCCUAAAUCCUAAUAUCUAAUCCCUAAACCCUAAUCCCUAAACCCCAAUC